GAUGAACGCUGGCGGCGUGCCUAAAACAUGCAAGUCGUGCGGCAGCGGGCCUUCGGGUGCCGGCGAGCGGCGGACGGGUGAGUAACGCGUAGGAACGUACCCCAAAGUGAGGGAUAAGCUCCGGAAACGGAGUCUAAUACCGCAUAUGCUCUUAGGAGUAAAGGAGUAAUCCGCUUUGGGAGCGGCCUGCGUCCGAUUAGCUUGUUGGUGAGGUAAUGGCUUACCAAGACGAGGAUCGGUAGCUGGUUUGAGAGGAUGAUCAGCCACACUGGGACUGAGACACGGCCCAGACUCCUACGGGAGGCAGCAGUUAGGAAUUUUCCACAAUGGGGGCAACGCUGAUGGAGCAACGCCGCGUGCAGGAAGACGGCCUUCGGGUUGUAAACUGCUUUUAAAAGUGAAGAUUAUGACGGUAACUUUAGAAUAAGGAUCGGCUAACUCCGUGCCAGCCGCCGCAGUAA
This 461-nucleotide ribosomal RNA is filed under the name uncultured bacterium. Its description in RNAcentral is "partial 16S ribosomal RNA". It matches the Rfam family "Bacterial small subunit ribosomal RNA", at positions 28 to 523 of the family's 1533-position model. The record is from RNAcentral.